Molecule: ribosomal RNA, 406 nt
Filed under: uncultured bacterium
Lineage: Bacteria
Description: partial 16S ribosomal RNA
Rfam family: Bacterial small subunit ribosomal RNA
Source: RNAcentral
AUUGAACGCUGGCGGCAGGCCUAACACAUGCAAGUAGAACGAGUGGCGGACGGGUGAGUAAUGUCUGGGAAACUGCCCGAUGGAGGGGGAUAACUACUGGAAACGGUAGCUAAUACCGCAUACCAUCGGAUGUGCCCAGAUGGGAUUGGCUAGUAGGUGGGGUAACGGCUCACCGAGGCGACGAUCCCUAGCGGGGCUGAGAGGCUGACCGGCAACACUGGAACUGGGACACGGUCCAGACCCCUACGGGAGUCAGCAGGGGGGAAUAUUGCACAAUGGGGGCAAGCCUGAUGCAGCCAUGCCGCGUGUAUGAAGAAGGCCUUCGGGUUGUAAAGUACUUUCAGCGAGGAGGCGUUACUCGCAGAAGAAGCACCGGCGAACUACGUGCCAGCAGCCGCGGUAAUAC